GAUGAAGAACGCAGCGAAAUGCGAUAAGUAAUGUGAAUUGCAGAAUUCAGUGAAUCAUCGAAUCUUUGAACGCACAUUGCGCCCGCCAGUAUUCUGGCGGGCAUGCCUGUUCGAGCGUCAUUUCAACCAUCAAGCCCCCGGCUUGUGUUGGGGACCUGCGGCUGCCGCAGGCCCUGAAAACCAGUGGCGGGCUCGCUGUCACACUGAGCGUAGUAGAUUUUCAUCUCGCUCAGGGCGUGCUGCGGGUUCCGGCCGUAAAAAGCCUUAUUUACCCAAGGUUGACCUCGGAUCAGGUAGGAAGACCCGCUGAACUUAAGCAUAUCAAUAAGCGGAGGA
Molecule: unclassified non-coding RNA, 336 nt
Filed under: soil metagenome
Description: partial contains 5.8S ribosomal RNA, internal transcribed spacer 2, and large subunit ribosomal RNA
Rfam family: 5.8S ribosomal RNA (bases 1-120)
Source: RNAcentral